Molecule: non-coding RNA, 246 nt
Organism: Vicia faba (fava bean)
Lineage: Eukaryota; Viridiplantae; Streptophyta; Magnoliopsida; Fabales; Fabaceae
Source: the annotation of a GenBank genome assembly
AUGAGGAUGGGGUUAAGAAUCAGAAAUGAGGACCACAGAGAAGACGGGUUAAAGAGAAGAACAAAGACAGAAGCUCCUUCGAGACGAGAACCACCGGAGAGGUUCGAAUCGGCGGAAUUCCAUCGAAGAAAGAGAGAGGACGAAAUUUUGGCGAGAGUUAAGGUCCGGCCGUCAGUAGUUGAGACAAAGAUAUAUGGAGGGAGUUGCACCGCCACAGAGAGAUUGAGAGCAGCGAGAAGGAGGUGA